Molecule: ribosomal RNA, 317 nt
Filed under: uncultured fungus
Lineage: Eukaryota; Fungi
Description: SSU rRNA
Rfam family: Eukaryotic small subunit ribosomal RNA
Source: RNAcentral
UGCAUGUCUAAGUAUAAGCAACUAUACCGUGAAACUGCGAAUGGCUCAUUAAAUCAGUUAUCGUUUAUUUGAUAGUACCUUACUACUUGGAUAACCGUGGUAAUUUUAGAGCUAAUACAUGCUAAAAACCCCCACUUCGGAAGGGGUGUAUUUAUUAGAUUAAAAACCAAUGCCCUUCGGGGCUCCUUGGUGAUUCAUAAUAACUAUACGAAUCGCAUGGCCUUGCGCCCGGCGAUGGUUCAUUCAAAUUUCUUCCCUAUCAACUUUCGAUGGUAGGAUAUGUGGCCUACCAUGGUUUCAACGGGUAACGGGGAAUG